Molecule: ribosomal RNA, 537 nt
Filed under: uncultured Xylophilus sp.
Lineage: Bacteria; Pseudomonadati; Pseudomonadota; Betaproteobacteria; Burkholderiales
Description: bacterial SSU rRNA
Rfam family: Bacterial small subunit ribosomal RNA
Source: RNAcentral
CUUAAAGGAAUUGACGGGGACCCGCACAAGCGGUGGAUGAUGUGGUUUAAUUCGAUGCAACGCGAAAAACCUUACCCACCUUUGACAUGUACGGAAUUUGCCAGAGAUGGCUUAGUGCUCGAAAGAGAGCCGUAACACAGGUGCUGCAUGGCUGUCGUCAGCUCGUGUCGUGAGAUGUUGGGUUAAGUCCCGCAACGAGCGCAACCCUUGUCAUUAGUUGCUACAUUCAGUUGGGCACUCUAAUGAGACUGCCGGUGACAAACCGGAGGAAGGUGGGGAUGACGUCAAGUCCUCAUGGCCCUUAUAGGUGGGGCUACACACGUCAUACAAUGGCUGGUACAGAGGGUUGCCAACCCGCGAGGGGGAGCUAAUCCCAUAAAACCAGUCGUAGUCCGGAUCGCAGUCUGCAACUCGACUGCGUGAAGUCGGAAUCGCUAGUAAUCGCGGAUCAGAAUGUCGCGGUGAAUACGUUCCCGGGUCUUGUACACACCGCCCGUCACACCAUGGGAACCGGGUUCUGCCAGAAGUAGUUAGCCU